AUUGAACGCUGGUGGCAUGCCUUACACAUGCAAGUCGAACGGCAGCGCGGGGCAACCUGGCGGCGAGUGGCGAACGGGUGAGUAAUAUAUCGGAACAUACCCUAGAGUGGGGAUAACGUAGCGAAAGUUACGCUAAUACCGCAUACGCACUAAGGUGGAAAGUGGGGGAUUCGCAAGAACCUCAUGCUCAUGGAGUGGCCGAUAUCUGAUUAGCUAGUUGGUGAGGUAAAGGCUCACCAAGGCGACGAUCAGUAGCUGGUUUGAGAGAACGACCAGCCACACUGGAACUGAGACACGGUCCAGACUCCUACGGAGGCAGCAGUGGGGAAUAUUGGACAAUGGGCGAAAGCCUGAUCCAGCAAUGCCGCGUGAGUGAUGAAGGCCUUAGGGUUGUAAAGCUCUUUUACCCGGGAUUGAUAAUGACAGUACCGGGAGAAUAAGCUCCGGCUAACUCCGUGCCAGCAGCCGCGGUAAU
This 475-nucleotide ribosomal RNA is filed under the name uncultured bacterium. RNAcentral describes it as "bacterial SSU rRNA". It matches the Rfam family "Bacterial small subunit ribosomal RNA", at positions 30 to 524 of the family's 1533-position model. The record is from RNAcentral.